Molecule: ribosomal RNA, 497 nt
Filed under: uncultured bacterium
Lineage: Bacteria
Description: partial 16S ribosomal RNA
Rfam family: Bacterial small subunit ribosomal RNA
Source: RNAcentral
GAUGAACGCUGGCGGCGUGCCUAAUACAUGCAAGUCGAGCGAACGGACGAGAAGCUUGCUUCUCUGAUGUUAGCGGCGGACGGGUGAGUAACACGUGGAUAACCUACCUACAAGACUGGGAUAACUUCGGGAAACCGGAGCUAAUACCGGAUAAUAUUUUGAACCGCAUGGUUCAAAAGUGAAAGACGGUCUUGCUGUCACUUAUAGAUGGAUCCGCGCUGCAUUAGCUAGUUGGUAAGGUAACGGCUUACCAAGGCAACGAUGCAUAGCCGACCUGAGAGGGUGAUCGGCCACACUGGAACUGAGACACGGUCCAGACUCCUACGGGAGGCAGCAGUAGGGAAUCUUCCGCAAUGGGCGAAAGCCUGACGGAGCAACGCCGCGUGAGUGAUGAAGGUCUUCGGAUCGUAAAACUCUGUUAUUAGGGAAGAACAUAUGUGUAAGUAACUGUGCACAUCUUGACGGUACCUAAUCAGAAAGCCACGGCUAACUACGUG